Molecule: long non-coding RNA, 4799 nt
Filed under: Podarcis lilfordi (Lilford's wall lizard)
Lineage: Eukaryota; Metazoa; Chordata; Lepidosauria; Squamata; Lacertidae
Source: RNAcentral
UAAGGAGUCAAAGGAGGAGCAGGUAGUGGAAGGGCGGGGAUGAAGAGCUCACUGUGUCCUUGUCUCCAAGGUGACAGGUGGUGAACAACUAAUAAACUAUUUUGAUUAAAACAGCAUGCAAAUGAGGGCAUGUAGAAUGUGGAAAUAUUUAAUGUUAAGCGUCUGAUCCUCACAACCCCCCAUCACCCUAGAGAGAAAUGAAUCUUCUUGUUAGACCUUAAAAUGCUAUCUGUCUUGAUGUCGUACAUCAGUCUCAUAUGCUUCGACUCUCUGUAAAUUUUCUUGUACUUGUCCAUAGUAAAUCACUCUCCCUGGUCCCCCCUGCCCCCCGGUUCUGCUAUUUGGGGUUGCCUUGUUAAAUAUUAGUGUGAGUUGCUAGCAUUGUUUUUCAGGGUUCAAUUUCUUCCCUGGGGUCUCUGAAGUUAAAUCCUGGAGUGGUAAAUGAAGGCAUCUUGUUUGGUCUUUGGUCAUAUGCACCCAUGUCAGUCAUAUACAACCAGCCUCCAAAGGGUCACAGGAUUGCACCCAAGCCCUUCCCCCCACCACUCUCAGAUUCCCCAUUAGAGCAGCAGAAAACUCCGAGAAUAUCGAUGCCAUAAAAACAUAAGAGCAGCCUUGCUGGUCCAGGCCAAAGGCUCAUCUGUUACAGCAUCCUGUUCUCAAAUGCCUACAGGAAGCAGGACCAGAGUACAGCAGGACUAUUUCCACUUAACAUUCCCCAAAACAGUGGAGACAGAACAUGUCCCACUAGCAGUGUUCUGCCAGCUGAGGUGAUGGAAACUGGAGAUUCAAUUGGAGAUUCAACUGGAGAAGUGAUUCAGUUAAACACGCUGUAAACUCGUACAGGGAAAUCCGGUAGGGAAAGAUGGAACUCCACAGUGCCAUCUGGUGUCACUGUGUUAUAUCGCGUAUUCAGUGUAUAUAAAAUGCUUUUUCUUUACCAGUCUAGCUGAGUCCCCACACACCCAUAGAAUCAGCCUAACACUAUGCCAGUCUGACAUAGUAUCUCCCCCUUCCCCACACCAUCCAUAAGACAGCAUUGUUUUGCCCAAACAUUUUAAAAUGAUAAUAAAUAUCCCCAAAUAAAUCCUGUAAUUUAGUAUAAAGUUAGAGAAUCAAUGAAGCACAAUGAAAUACAAAUUGCAUUUGUCUUAAAUUGCAUGCAUACAUUGCAGAACAAAUACAUUUUAAAUAGCCAAAAAUAUAAAACAAGUUUCCCAUAAAAUUUCACAGGUAGAGGCAAUAAGUAAAGAGCUUGCAACGGGCAAAGGAACCAAUUUGAGGUCAUUGAAGGGCUACAGAGGUUAUUAACAUUCAGUAAUCAUCUGCAUUUUGUAGGCUGAUGUUUUUUGCAAAUGUCAAGGACCUGUUAAGAGAAGGUAAUCGAACCCAUUCUUCAAAAGCAAUGCAGCAGAGACUUUUUCUACAGCACUUUUACUCUUAAGUAAAGGAUAAAGAGGCAUGACUUAAUGGACCUGCCUAAUGUCGCUCCAAAUAGAAUGCAUUGGCUAUACAGGGGUGCAUCUUAUGCCUUUAAAUGAGGAUAAGUAUUCCACACCAACUGAGGCAUAUUUUGCAGAAGAAUGUCAGUUAUCCUCCUGCAAAUUAUUCCAUUCCUUUAAAGAAUGCAGAAAAACCACAUCUCCAUUUUUUGCACAGACAUAGCGGCUCAAGUGAGGACCAAACUAGAUAUGAUGUUAACAUGAAUUAUUGUAUUUCUUUCAAAAAAGAUAAAUCUUUUAGUGAUAAUUUUAUUGUUUUAUGUCAUUAUUUAAAACGUACAGAAAGUUAAAACCACAAUAGAAUAGAUAGACUUAAACAAAUUAAAACUGGUUUUUAUUAUAUAAAUAACAGCCACAGAGAUGCCUGGUUAGCCUUGAGUUGGUAGGGGGAGAAAGUUUAAUUUCGGUCAUUUCCAGAUGACUUUUUUAAUGGAGCAUUCAUCCUGAUUGUUUAGAUUGACAUUGCCUGAGGCAACUGUUACCGCUCACUUUCCAGUGUAUUUUCCCACCACUUUCCUUACUGCAAAACGUCAGGUUUGGGGAAGGAAGUGAGUUUGUUGUGCAAGACCACCAAAUCCACUUUAAUUGUGCAACCUAGAUUUGCUGCUACACUGUCAAAUCCCACCCUCAAAUACCCACCCAAUCUCAACGCGCCCUCCCUGUUGAUGCCACAGCCAGACGAAAAUUUCAAGGGAAAGCCCAGGUUCUGCAGCAGGUAAAGGUAAAGGUAAAGGGACCUAUGACUGUUAGGUCCAGUCAUGACCGACUCUGGGGUUGCGGCACUCAUCUCGCUUUAUUGGCUGAGGGAGCCGGUGUACAGUUUCCGGGUCAUGUGGCCAGCCUGACUUAAGCCGCUUCUGGCGAACCAGAGCAGUGCACGGAAACGCAGUUUACCUUCCCACCAGAGCAGUACCUAUUGACCUACUUGCACUUUGAUGUGCUUUCGAACUGCUAGGUGGGCAGGAGCAGGGACCGAGCAACAGGAGCUCACCCUGUCAUGGGGAUUCGAACCGCCGACCUUCUGAUCGGCAAGUCCUAGGCUCUGUGGUUUAAUCCACAACGCCACCCGUGUCCCUCUGCAGCAGGUAUCAGAGCAUAUAUCAUAUGCCCUUGGAAUACAAGUUGAGAAGACCUAGGUAUGGGUUAAUUUGGUGCAACCCAAAUUAAGAGAAAAGAAGAAAUCGUGCUUAUUGCAAUGGUUCUUUUAAAAACAACAACAUUGAAUGGAUUUGUUUGCUUUCUUCAAUAACCCGAGAUUGCAUGUGCUUCUAGUCGUAGAACUGUCCUUAGUCUCUAAUUGGCCACCAAGUAAGAGCAACCACUGCUGCCACCAUCACUUGUGAUCCAGCUUGGCACCCUUGCUGACCAAGGGGCAAGAAGUGUCUGUGCCUGCGUAAAAACAUUCUCCUUUGUUCAGCCCAGCUGUCAUUUACAUUAGAAAAGUGCUGAAGCACAGUUAAAGGGCAAGAAAAAGGAUGGGGAAGUGUUCACUUCCAUUACCUAUUCUGGUCUUUAGAGAGAAGACAUCUGUCUCAAGGGCAGUUAGCUUGGCUCUGUUCGUAAUGCAAUAAAUUCUUGACAAUGUCUCCUCCAUAACUUACUCGGAUUAAUAAAUAAAGACUAUCCUGAUUAAGCCAUCCUUUCGCUUUCCUGGACAUUUCCCCUUUGCUUGAUAUAAUCCAGCGCAGAGUAAUGUGUGGCUAAGACCAUUCAUUUAAUGAGUUCCCUUGUGCUUAACUUUGUUCUUUCUCUAUUAUUUCUUCCUCUUUCAUGAUCUUUUCUCCAAUAUCUGUUUCAUGUACUUUUCUUUACUUAAAUAUGGCUAGGUGUUUCACUGCAACACAUCAUUCUAAUCUCCAUUAAUUUGUUCCACCUCUAAUAAUCACAUUGUUUUCAAAGGGCAAUGCAGUGCCUGACAGUUUGUCCUGUUUGCAACUGAUUAGACAUAAACAUUUUUCUCUUAGAAACCAACCAACCAACCAGGCACCCCUGCAUUUGGUAUGCUGUUGUUUUGGAUAAUUUUGGAUCAUUGAUUCUCAAUUGUUGGUUGGGAUUUCUUUAUGCUACUAAUUCCUGAUGGAUGGUACUGCAAUUCUAUAAUUGCAGUAAUGGAUGGCACAGAAGGCAGAAGCAUUUACUUGACCUCCCAGCACCUGGUCACUGGGAGGGAAAGGAGGAGCGGCAAGGAGGUAGGGAAUUUGACAUGGUGUAAACGCACCAGCUGGAGCAUUGGAUUUGCACCAUGCCCACCUCUCCCUCCCAGUAAGCGGCAGUGAUUCAGAUGUUGGGAGGUUAGAACCACUGUUGGCCUCAUCCACUCAAUCUGCCAGAGCCUGUCUUCACAUGCAGGGGAAGUCCCUAAGUCAGGGGUCAGCAAUGUGUGGCCCAUGGGCCAGAUGCGGCCCACGAAGACCGUUUUACCGGCCCACAAGCCGCCCCCAAACUGAGCCGCCCGUGCGCUGUGCUAAGCUGGUGCGGCAUGGGGACUUACCAAGCGGUACUGGAAAUUGCUUCUGUGCAUGUGCAGAUACCGAAAAUCGCGGCUGCGCAUGUCCAGACAACAGAAGUCGGUUCUGCGCAGGCGCAAUUUUCGGCGUCUCGGCAUGCGCAGAAGCAAUUUCCGGCCCUGCACACAUACACAGACACGAUUUCUGGUGUCACGCUGCACCAGUCUGGCCCAUGGACGAUCUCCAUGGGAGUGAUCCAGCCCAUGGCCGGCAAACCUUGCCGACCCCUGCCCUAAGUCAUCAAGAGUUUGAGACCCAUCUGCUACCCUCAUCUGGUUUAGCUGGCCAGUCGAAGCCCUUCCCACAGUGUGUCUGCUGUUGCAUGCUGACAGCUUUCAGGAGCCACAUGUGAGAACUGAGUGCGGGAUGGGGAACCAAAGGUGGACAAACAACUCCAGAAGGAGCACGAACAACAUGUUCCCAACCAGAGGUGGUACUAUUCCCCUAAGAGCCCCACCCUACCCUUGUAGCCACUAGCAGGUGGAAUAUAAGUCACAAUUAAAAAUAAUUUCUAUUCAACAGACACUGCUAAAUAGUUUUAUCUGGAUGAUCUGUCUGUCACUUCAUGACUGGAGAAUGGAUAAUCUGCUUCUCAUAGAGCUGUUUAGAAAACAGAGAUUGCUUUCAAGUGGACCUGUCAUCAUGCUCAGUUUGUUAUUGAGUUGCUGAGAGAAUAUAUUAUGUUCUGAGUUUGUAACAACAACAACAACAACAUUUAUUUGUUUGUUUGUUUUAUCCCACCCAUCUGGCUGGGUUUCCCCAGCUACUCUGGGCAACUCGACUCCCAACA